GAUGAACGCUAGCUACAGGCUUAACACAUGCAAGUCGAGGGGAAACGACAUUGAAAGCUUGCUUUUAAUGGGCGUCGACCGGCGCACGGGUGCGUAACGCGUAUCGAACCUGCCCUUUACUCAGGGAUAGCCUUGCGAAAGUAAGAUUAAUACCUGAUAGUGUUGCGAUGAGGCAUCUUGUUGCAACUAAAGAUUUAUUGGUAAAGGAUGGCGAUGCGUCUGAUUAGGUAGUAGGCGGGGUAAUGGCCCACCUAGCCUUCGAUCAGUAGGGGUUCUGAGAGGAAGGUCCCCCACAUUGGAACUGAGACACGGUCCAAACUCCUACGGGAGGCAGCAGUGAGGAAUAUUGGUCAAUGGACGAGAGCCUGAACCAGCCAAGUAGCGUGCAGGAUGACGGCCCUCUGGGUUGUAAACUGCUUUUAGUUGGGAACAUAAAAGGCGACGUGUCGCCUCUGGAGGACCAUCAGAAAAAGACC
Molecule: ribosomal RNA, 476 nt
Filed under: Alloprevotella rava
Lineage: Bacteria; Pseudomonadati; Bacteroidota; Bacteroidia; Bacteroidales; Prevotellaceae
Description: bacterial SSU rRNA
Rfam family: Bacterial small subunit ribosomal RNA
Source: RNAcentral